This 56-nucleotide transfer RNA is filed under the name Hemidactylus platyurus (flat-tailed house gecko). RNAcentral's name for it is "partial tRNA-Cys". The record is from RNAcentral. Lineage: Eukaryota; Metazoa; Chordata; Lepidosauria; Squamata; Gekkonidae.
GUGGUAGCACGCCGAAAUGCAAGUUCGGAAAAGUACCCCAGUAGGUACCCCGGCUU